GGGAGGAAACAAGGCCCAAAGUCCCUGUAACCAAUUGUGCCGUAGUGGUGGUGUUAAAAUAAGAAUUCCCGAGUAUUCAGCUAAGAAUAUUGUAAUAGGCGUAAGAUCUUCUCAAACCGAGAACAGGCAAAUAUUCGCUGAAAAUGACAACAAGCAGAGCUCAAACGCAGAUCCAAGACGACGAGAUAAUACUAAUACCUACGGUACACAUUACUCAAGCAGGAACAGAAUAUAAAAAUAU
Zophobas morio is the source of this 241-nucleotide long non-coding RNA. RefSeq lists it as uncharacterized. NCBI's taxonomy places the organism in Eukaryota, Metazoa, Arthropoda, Insecta, Coleoptera, Tenebrionidae. The record is from RefSeq and is a predicted model, not a curated record. The transcript has 3 exons.